Molecule: ribosomal RNA, 253 nt
Filed under: uncultured bacterium
Lineage: Bacteria
Also listed under: 1 other name
Description: partial 16S ribosomal RNA
Rfam family: Bacterial small subunit ribosomal RNA
Source: RNAcentral
UACGGAGGGUGCGAGCGUUAAUCGGAAUUACUGGGCGUAAAGCGAGUGUAGGCGGUUGCAUAAGUCGGAUGUGAAAGCCCCGGGCUUAACCUGGGAAUGGCAUUCGAUACUGUGCGGCUAGAGUCUGAUAGAGGGAAGUGGAAUUCCAGGUGUAGCGGUGAAAUGCGUAGAUAUCUGGAAGAACACCAGUGGCGAAGGCGGCUUCCUGGAUCAAGACUGACGCUGAGGCUCGAAAGCGUGGGGAGCAAACAGG